Molecule: long non-coding RNA, 380 nt
Filed under: Medicago truncatula (barrel medic)
Lineage: Eukaryota; Viridiplantae; Streptophyta; Magnoliopsida; Fabales; Fabaceae
Description: lncRNA gene18834
Source: RNAcentral
UUUCUUUCUUUCUUUCUUUAUCCCCUCUCAGAUUUCCUUCACUUUUCUUUCCUCUCCUCGGAGCCUCACCUUUCUCUCUUUUUCCCAUUUUCCCCUCACUCUCCUUUCAACAUGUCCUUCUUGUUGGUUGUUUCAUGUUUCCCCAGUCCAGUAUCACAACCGACCACCGCCAAAAUAUAAUUUUAUUGGAAUAUUGAUUUGUGGUCUUAAGUUUUGGUACGCUAAUGUUGAAUAUUGAAAUUGAAACAUUGAUUUGUGGUUCUAGGUUUUGGUUUUGAAACUGAAAUUGAAACAUUGAUUUUAUGGUUUUAUGUGGCUUAGGUCAUAGUUUCUUUUCGGCAGGCAUAGUCAAGUAGAGAUAAGACAAUAGAAUAUAGGAC